Cryptotermes secundus is the source of this 690-nucleotide long non-coding RNA. RefSeq lists it as uncharacterized. Lineage: Eukaryota; Metazoa; Arthropoda; Insecta; Blattodea; Kalotermitidae. The record is from RefSeq and is a predicted model, not a curated record. The transcript is spliced from 4 exons.
UAGUGACAGCCCCUGCGCCUCAGUCAGUCAGUCAGUAUGCUCGCCUGCCGGCUGGCCGGGCACCCGCGUGCUUGCGAGAAGCGUCGACGCCACACCGCAGACGCCAUCCCGCCGCCUUCAGCAACAGCGCCAGAGCACCUGAUCGUGAGUGAGGCCCAAACACUUCCGUCAGCAACACGCUGAAAUAUUCUGCCUCCCACUUAAUGAGAGAAUUCAAGUUUCUCAUCUAAAGAACAGAUGAGACUUGGGGCACACAGCAUCGAACUGAGCUGAGUGCUGCCUCAUGAGAUCCAAGGCCGAAAUAUCACACAACUGUAUAAUGCAAUUGGGGGAACAAAGCAGAGGAACCGGAGCUUCGGGGAAGUGAAGAGAGGAGUGUCACACCACAACUGCAGUCUGCUUCUUGAUCGACGAGCGUGCAGUCUGACAUUGGAGAAAUUUCUAUUUUGCAAUUUUGCAGCGUUUUUUAAAUGCAUAUGAUUUUUUGAAGAACCAAACGAAUGGGCGUAUGCGAGGAAGGAGCGAAAGUAGAGGACGUUUCGACUUAAAACCAUGUAUGUUAGAUUUUUGCUUCUUUCCUAUAUUUCAUCAAGCCUGGGUGUAAAGGAACAAGGGCAACUUCAUGCAGGAGGUAGACAAAUUAAUGGAGCGACUAAGAAAUUGAGGAAUGGAAUUUGUGAAUGGGAAGAC